Molecule: ribosomal RNA, 1050 nt
Filed under: Acinetobacter baumannii
Lineage: Bacteria; Pseudomonadati; Pseudomonadota; Gammaproteobacteria; Moraxellales; Moraxellaceae
Description: bacterial SSU rRNA
Rfam family: Bacterial small subunit ribosomal RNA
Source: RNAcentral
ACGGGUGAGUAAUGCUUAGGAAUCUGCCUAUUAGUGGGGGACAACAUCUCGAAAGGGAUGCUAAUACCGCAUACGUCCUACGGGAGAAAGCAGGGGAUCUUCGGACCUUGCGCUAAUAGAUGAGCCUAAGUCGGAUUAGCUAGUUGGUGGGGUAAAGGCCUACCAAGGCGACGAUCUGUAGCGGGUCUGAGAGGAUGAUCCGCCACACUGGGACUGAGACACGGCCCAGACUCCUACGGGAGGCAGCAGUGGGGAAUAUUGGACAAUGGGGGAACCCUGAUCCAGCCAUGCCGCGUGUGUGAAGAAGGCCUUAUGGUUGUAAAGCACCUUAAGCGAGGGGGAGGCUACUUUAGUUAAUACCUAGAGAUAGUGGACGUUACUCGCAGAAUAAGCACCGGCUAACUCUGUGCCAGCAGCCGCGGUAAUACAGAGGGUGCGAGCGUUAAUCGGAUUUACUGGGCGUAAAGCGUGCGUAGGCGGCUUAUUAAGUCGGAUGUGAAAUCCCCGAGCUUAACUUGGGAAUUGCAUUCGAUACUGGUGAGCUAGAGUAUGGGAGAGGAUGGUAGAAUUCCAGGUGUAGCGGUGAAAUGCGUAGAGAUCUGGAGGAAUACCGAUGGCGAAGGCAGCCAUCUGGCCUAAUACUGACGCUGAGGUACGAAAGCAUGGGGAGCAAACAGGAUUAGAUACCCUGGUAGUCCAUGCCGUAAACGAUGUCUACUAGCCGUUGGGGCCUUUGAGGCUUUAGUGGCGCAGCUAACGCGAUAAGUAGACCGCCUGGGGAGUACGGUCGCAAGACUAAAACUCAAAUGAAUUGACGGGGGCCCGCACAAGCGGUGGAGCAUGUGGUUUAAUUCGAUGCAACGCGAAGAACCUUACCUGGCCUUGACAUACUAGAAACUUUCCAGAGAUGGAUUGGUGCCUUCGGGAAUCUAGAUACAGGUGCUGCAUGGCUGUCGUCAGCUCGUGUCGUGAGAUGUUGGGUUAAGUCCCGCAACGAGCGCAACCCUUUUCCUUACUUGCCAGCAUUUCGGAUGGGAACUUUAAGGAUAC